AGCAUCCGUAGCUCGUUUUGUAAGUUUUCGGUUAAAUCCAUGCGCUUAACGUAUGGGCUGCCGGGAAUACUGCAUAACUAGGAAGUGGGAGAGGUAGACGGUACUCGGUAGGAAGGGGUAAAAUCCUUUGAUCUAUUGAUGACCACCUGUGGCGAAGGCGGUCUACCAGAACACGUUCGACGGUGAGGGAUGAAAGCUGGGGGAGCAAACCGGAUUAGAUACCCGGGUAGUCCCAGCUGUAAACGAUGCAGACUCGGUGAUGCAUUGGCUUGUGGCCAGUGCAGUGCCGCAGGGAAGCCGUUAAGUUUGCCGCCUGGGAAGUACGUACGCAACUAUGAAACCUAAAGGAAUUGGCGGGGGACUACA
RNAcentral lists this ribosomal RNA (366 nucleotides) under uncultured Nitrososphaerota archaeon. RNAcentral's name for it is "bacterial SSU rRNA". It matches the Rfam family "Archaeal small subunit ribosomal RNA", at positions 514 to 880 of the family's 1478-position model. Lineage: Archaea; Thermoproteati; Nitrososphaerota. The record is from RNAcentral.